CCUGCCUGCUGGACUCCUGUGUGUGGUUUUAGUCCUGGUCUGACCUGACUCCUGCUCCUGUCUGUGGUUUUAGUCCUGGUCUGACAACAUGAAGCGCUGCCUCGGAUUAUUCCUGCUGGUUUGUUGUGGGAUGCUUCAUCUGGGUUCUGCACUUCGCUGCUACAACUGCUCUGAUUACACGGGACGCUGUCAGAACGUGCAAGAGUGCACGUAUGAAGAAGACUCCUGUUUAUCUCUGAGUGAGAGAGAUGAGCUCAACUACUAAUACUCAGAUAUUUAAGCUGCUGUGUGUUGAUUUAUAUGUGAUGGAAGUAUUUUUUACUAAUGUAAAAGUAGUAAUACCACAGUAUAAAACUACUCUGUUUCAAGUAAAAGUGUCAGCAUCAAAAUGUACUGAAAGUAUGAAAAGUAAAGUACUCAUUAUGCAGAAUGAGCCCACUCAGUGUGUUAUACAUAUAUACUAUAUAUAUUAUUGGAAUAUUAUUAUUGAUGCAUUUAUGUAAGCAGCAUUUUAAUUGUGGUUGUUAUGUAGAGCUAAUUUAACUACUUAAUUCACUGUUUUAUAGUUUUAUUUAUGAAUUUAUAAUAUGUUUAUAAUACGUACAGGUUCUCAGGUCAACAAAGAAUGACUUUUUCAUUUUAUACUUUUUACCAGUUUAACAAUAAAUACAAGAAGAAAAUAAGAUAUUUUUAGUAUUCCAGUAUUGUAAUCAUGAACUUUUAGAUAUUCUAUAUACCUUCUAUAUCUCUAUAUUGACUGUCCUUUAGGCUGACUCCAGGUCAGUGUCCUCCCGGCUCCACAGGUUUCACAACUCCACAUCUGGUGUUCAUCGAGCUUUGUGUUGCUCAAUGGACACACUGAUGGCUGGGAGGGUCUCAACUCACACAACAUCUGCCUUCACACAUAUAAUCAGUCGGACGUGUUCUUGGCAGAUUCUCUGGUUGUUCUUUGUACACGGAGACUCCGUCCACAUGUGUGAAUAAAUCAGCCUGAACCAAGAA
Molecule: long non-coding RNA, 1002 nt
Organism: Sebastes umbrosus (honeycomb rockfish)
Lineage: Eukaryota; Metazoa; Chordata; Actinopteri; Perciformes; Sebastidae
Exons: 2
Source: RefSeq, a predicted model, not a curated record